UACGGAGGGUGCAAACGUUGCUCGGAAUUAUUGGGCGUAAAGCGCACGUAGGCGGACCAUCAAGUCGGAUGUGAAAUCCCUCGGCUUAACCGAGGACGUGCAUUCGAAACUGAUGGCCUUGAGUACGAAAGAGGAUCGCGGAAUUCCCGGUGUAGAGGUGAAAUUCGUAGAUAUCGGGAGGAACACCAGUGGCGAAGGCGGCGAUCUGGGUCGAUACUGACGCUGAGGUGCGAAAGCCAGGGGAGCGAACGGG
RNAcentral lists this ribosomal RNA (253 nucleotides) under uncultured bacterium. Its description in RNAcentral is "partial 16S ribosomal RNA". It matches the Rfam family "Bacterial small subunit ribosomal RNA", at positions 524 to 776 of the family's 1533-position model. The record is from RNAcentral.